UAGUGGAUUGGAUUUAGAUGUAUGUUAAACUUAGUUAAUGAUCCUUUCAAGUUUUUUUUCUUUCGCUACGAAAAUAAAAUUAGUUUUGCGAAAAUGGGUUUACCCGAAGUCGAUGCAUACAUAUCUAUUAAAAACGAAAAGAGCGAUAGCUUUGUUAAAUGAAUGGGAUUAUAAAGUAAACAAUUAAACGAAAUAAUGUUUAGUAAGUGAUUCAUGAAUGAAUAUAAACCUAUCUCAACUCGGCUUCGCAGCUUUCGUAAACGAAUGUAUAAAAAAUGCUUUAGAAAACCAAAUUUGAAUGUUAAUUUGAUCAAAAUAUGAAAUGAAUGGACUAUAAUUAGUAUGUUCAUGUGUUAAAGUAUAAAACUAUCUGUGCGAAGAGAAGUUAUAUCAUCUUAGAGUUGAAUUAGAGUUUUAGAUCUAGGGAUGGAAAGAUAUGUAACAUUACGGUAUUGUCUAAUAAAAGAAUAUUCGUCAGGAAAUCUGUAGUCACAGAUAUAAGGAACUAAUUUAUGUAAAAAAUGGUUUUGAAACACACAUCUGAAGGUUAAUUUUAUUAUAUAAUGAAAUCAAUGGAACUUCUUUUGUAUUUUCAUGUGUCAAAGUAAAAAACUAUCUGAGCAAAGUGUAUUUCUUAAAAUUAGCUCUAGAUCUAAAUCCUUUCGAUCUUUUCUCAAGUCAACAUUGUAAACAUGGCCUAGAUCCAUAAAUAUUAUAGCUUUAAUAGAGUCGGACAACUUUAUUUUUUUUGAGGGUCUUAAGUUUGUUUUAGGGCUACAAUACAUACACUACGGUCUAAGUUAGUACCUAAGGAAUAUUCCUGCCAAGUUUUAUCAAGAUUGGUCAAGCGGUUUUGAUUUCUAUUCGUCACAUACAUACAUACAUACAUACAUACAUACAUACAUACAUACAUACAUACAUACAUACAUACAUACAUACAUACAUACAUACAUACAUACAUACAUACUGUUACAACAUUUAAUGGAGGCAACUCAACGAGGUAUGGGAACAAGACAAUACAAAGUUUAAUCAACAUAGAUCACCCAAAACAAGAACCGUUCCAAUCUCCUCGCACUUCCUCUUCUUCUCUCCCCGUUCAUUUAGUACAUCCUGGUGCGCUGGUGCGCAACCAUAGAGUCACUAAAGAACAUGGUCAUUACAAUACAUACAUACAUACAUACGCCUUACUUUAUACUUAUAUUGUAGAUGUGUGUGUGUGUGUGUUAGGGUUUGGAAAAUUCGCCUCCCUCCCCCCCAAAAAAAAAAGUUAUGGAUCCUCUAGUGACUCAAAGUCAAGCAUUUCCUUGGUCGCUUCACUGAUGGGUGGGGGGGGGGUUAGAUUCACGUGGCAGUUUCUCAACGUACCAGCUCAGGCCUGAGUUAGGGGAAUACCCUUCUCAUCAAGUGUGUAUGCAUAGCAUCCACGUCAUUGUCCGGCCUUGAACUUCAUCUCCUGUUUUAUGCCAUGUUCUGCUGUUGGAGCAUUGAUAAAAACAAAAGUUUAUUUGAGUGAGGUCAGAGGCGUCGCUAUGAGAAGACCGAACGUUUGACAAUGCUUCGUUCUAUUUCCCUUUUGAGAUUUUUAUUUCGAUAGACAUGAUAAAUAGUUUGCUUGGAGUCGAGCUGUAAUAAUGCGGUCUGGAUUUUGGGAGUCAGUCUUAAACAAGGAAAUCCUUUGCCGAACACUUUGUGACGUUGUGAUAGAGCGUGGCAUGAGGUGUGCGGGACAUGUUCUCCGACACAAAAAACUACGAAUACCAAGAGUUGCGAUGACAUGGAGGCCAUUACAGAUCUUUCUGAAGACAAAUUGCCAUCCCUGAACAGGAUGAUGAAUUUUCAUUACAUAACAAACAAAUUCAACGUGAGAUGAAAUGAAAUAAAUGUAGUAGACUCAAGUAACAAUAUACAAUUUCAAUCAAUACGAAAGAUAUUUUAAAAUAUCGAUCUAAUUUUCUAAAGAUCGGUUUAAAAUUUAAUGGCGGACCUCAUAGGUUGCGCCCAUUCAUUCGUGGCCAGCACUGAAGAUUCUUGAUAACAAAUAUCAAAUUCCACACUGAUAAACGAGGUCGCUUUCUAUAUUUAGUACAUCGGUAAUUCCCAUAUAUAUUACGUAAGGGAAAAUCAGCUCUUAAAACAGGAAUUCUAUAUCACAUAGGGUACAUAGUGUCUACAGUUAAACAUCGAACAUUAACUGUCUUCUGUUCGCUAAAAGUCUAAACAUUGAAAAGAUGUCUCUUGUGAUAGACCAAGUGAUUUUUGCUCUAUUAAAAUUUCUAUUUUUUAUAGUAUUCACAAUUAUAACCUGGUUCCUGUCGGUAACAUCACAAUGCCUCUUAUUUAUAAUCACUUUUGUGGCGCCGAUUGUCUUCCACACAACGACAGCAGCCGUUCAGGUCAUCACCCAGACUGCCAUCUGCCUGGUCCGGGUCCUGGUAAGCUUCAUCCAGAUGGUAAUCAUCGACUGGAGGAUCACACUUUUGGUGUUAUUUUUCGUCGCGGCAUGGUUGCUGAAUUUACAAUUUGGCUGGUCUUCAAUUUCUUGAAGUCACAUGUCAAGCCCAGAAAUGAUGACGUAGAUCACCUUGACCUAUGUGAACGACUGUGCGAAAGCCUACCGAAGGUGUUCUCACGACGUUGACGUAUGGACUCACAGCAACUCUGUAUUAAUUUUUGUAUAGAUAUAUAUCGACGUUUCUCGAUGCACAGACCGGUCGUAACAUCCGUAUACUACAUUUCAUAUCUUCCAAUUAAUAUCUGGGAGAUGGAGAUACAAAGAAAUGACUCACAUAUGAUGAAGGGUUGUAUAAAUUACAAAUCCUUUUUUAAUAUAAUGCAUUCAUGAAUAUAAUAUUUUCACUUGAUUUUCCUAUUGAUAUUCAUUUGCAUAUGUUAAAUAAAGAGUAAAAGUCAAUUUA
Biomphalaria glabrata is the source of this 2915-nucleotide RNA transcript. RefSeq lists it as uncharacterized. The transcript is spliced from 2 exons. The record is from RefSeq and is a predicted model, not a curated record. NCBI's taxonomy places the organism in Eukaryota, Metazoa, Mollusca, Gastropoda, Planorbidae.